Molecule: ribosomal RNA, 531 nt
Filed under: Lygodactylus sp. 2 DAW-2012
Lineage: Eukaryota; Metazoa; Chordata; Lepidosauria; Squamata; Gekkonidae
Description: partial 16S ribosomal RNA
Rfam family: Bacterial large subunit ribosomal RNA
Source: RNAcentral
CGCCUUUAGCACUCGAAGUAUUAGAGGUCCUGCCUGCCCAGUGAAACUUUUCAACGGCCGCGGUAUCCUAACCGUGCAAAGGUAGCGCAAUCCCUUGCCCCCUAAUUAGGGGCUAGUAUGAACGGCAAAAUGAGGGCCUAACUGUCUCCUGAGACAGAGUAAUGAAAUUGAAAAUCCAGUACAAACGCUGGAAUAAUAUCAUAAGACGAGAAGACCCUGUGGAACUUUAACUAUUAUACUAGCACAUAAUCAACUCGCCCACCCUAGUAAAACUUUUAGUUGGGGCAACUGCGGAGUAAAACAAAACCUCCAUAAAUAACGACUAACCGUCCCGCUUAAGGCCCGCACGCCAUCAAUACAAACACUUGAUCCGGCACAGCCGAUUAAUGAACCAAGCUACCCCAGGGAUAACAGCGCUAUCUCCUUCAAGAGUCCCUAUCGCCAAGGGGGUUUACGACCUCGAUGUUGGAUCAGGACCCCCCGGUGGUGUAGCCGCUACCAAAGGCUCGUUUGUUCAACGAAUAAUGUCCU